RNAcentral lists this ribosomal RNA (444 nucleotides) under uncultured bacterium. RNAcentral's name for it is "SSU rRNA". It matches the Rfam family "Bacterial small subunit ribosomal RNA", at positions 26 to 518 of the family's 1533-position model. The record is from RNAcentral.
AGAGCGAACGCUGGCGGCAGGCCUAAUACAUGCAAGUCGAACGGACCCUUCGGGGUUAGUGGCGGACGGGUGAGUAACACGUGGGAACGUGCCCUUUGGUUCGGAACAACUCAGGGAAACUUGAGCUAAUACCGGAUGUGCCCUUCGGGGGAAAGAUUUAUCGCCAUUGGAGCGGCCCGCGUCUGAUUAGCUAGUUGGUGGGGUAAAGGCCUACCAAGGCUACGAUCAGUAGCUGGUCUGAGAGGAUGAUCAGCCACACUGGGACUGAGACACGGCCCAGACUCCUACGGGAGGCAGCAGUAGGGAAUCUUGCGCAAUGGGCGAAAGCCUGACGCAGCCAUGCCGCGUGAAUGAUGAAGGUCUUAGGAUUGUAAAAUUCUUUCAGCGGGACGAUAAUGACGGUACCCGCAGAAGAAGCCCGGCUAACUUCGUGCCAGCAGCCGC